This is a non-coding RNA of Roseofilum reptotaenium AO1-A, 37 nucleotides long. NCBI's taxonomy places the organism in Bacteria, Bacillati, Cyanobacteriota, Cyanophyceae, Desertifilales, Desertifilaceae. The record is from Rfam.
GUUGAAACGCUCUUAAAUCCCUAUGAGGGAUUGAAAC